Alligator sinensis (Chinese alligator) is the source of this 954-nucleotide RNA transcript. It is a transcript of the gene named Tctex1 domain containing 1, with no coding region annotated. The record is from RefSeq and is a predicted model, not a curated record. The transcript has 6 exons. Lineage: Eukaryota; Metazoa; Chordata; Crocodylia; Alligatoridae.
CCGGGCCUCUCCAAGCGGCUCGUCUCUUCUGCGCUGCAGACGAAGCGGUGCGGGGCGGCGGCGGCUCCUCCCCGCGCCUCCGGCUGCGCCGCGAUGAGGGCGGUGCAGUCCCGCCCCGGAGCCGAGGGCGGUGUUUGGCCGUAACCCUAGAAACCCUCGGCCAGCCCGGCUCUGCCCUGCCGGGCCCGGCCCCGGGGAGCGGCGGGGAGCCGGGCUGAGCCCCCCGGGGUGCGGGGUGAUGUGCAAGCAGUGCCAGGGAGCGGGUCCCGGGCAGCCCCAGGGAGGCGGUGCCCUGAGCCGUGCGGCCGCCGCCUCUUUAAGGGCCCCGCGUGUUACCUCUUGGGCUCUAACAGACAUGUCGGACCUAGCGAAGGAGAAGGCAUCUCGCCUCUUGAAGAAGCAAGGCAGCGUCUCCUCGCUAAGCAGCCACGAAGUCAGAGCGAAAGAUGUCUUUGGAAGAAGCAAGGACUCCAUGAGUACAGUGUCUUAUAUGGAUCAACCUGGUCAUCAUGAUGAUUUUUCUCGCCCUGCGGUUCAGAUGGAGAACACUUACCAACUAGGUCCUACAAGACGUUUUCCUGUGGUUACGGUGAAUAAUAUUUUGAAGGACGUGCUGACUAAUUAUCUUCAAGAAGAAAAAUAUGAAGCGGAGUUAUGCAGACAAAUGACAAAAACCAUCUCUGAGCUGCUCCGGGACCUGCACUGCACGCAGCACCUGAGAAGCAGCCAGACUAGCCGGGGCAUGUGACAUAAAUCCUGGAGUGACUGGAACAGGUACCACACUGCAUGUGACACCCAUCCUGAACCAGCUGGAGCAGACACCGUGUGUGGUAAUUAAAGCUCGGGUAAAAGAGCUCAUGAUACCAAGGUACAAGAUAAUUGUCAUUAUCCAUAUUGGACAACUAAACGAACAGAGCAUGCAAAUUGGAAGCAGAUGCCUUUGGGAUCCUACAA